This 71-nucleotide non-coding RNA is filed under the name Pedobacter suwonensis. The record is from RNAcentral. Lineage: Bacteria; Pseudomonadati; Bacteroidota; Sphingobacteriia; Sphingobacteriales; Sphingobacteriaceae.
AUAUAAACCUGGACAGGAACGGCAGCCUCCGAUUUCUACAAGCGGAGCUAUAGUGUAUGGCAGGGCUGUAA